Molecule: long non-coding RNA, 966 nt
Filed under: Mus musculus (house mouse)
Lineage: Eukaryota; Metazoa; Chordata; Mammalia; Rodentia; Muridae
Description: long non-coding RNA chr4:128404388-128405354
Source: RNAcentral
GUUUUAUUCUCCCAUUUCCAUUGUCCCUCUGCAAUGAUGUGCCAACAAGGAAAUUAACCAAGUAUGUGUGAAUAUUCAGCAGAUGAGUAGGGGACCUGUCUGAGGGAUCAGAGCUAAUUGCCCCUCAGUUUGCCACAAAGAACAGAAACAUACUUUAAAAGCUCCUAAUUGGUAUUCUUCACAGGAGUUGAGAGAAUAUUGUAUUUAUGGCACAAAAUAGGCAAUAAUGAAAACAGAGCUUUCUCAGAUGAGGAAAGAUUGCAUGGAGAUGAAAAACAUGAUCAUCCAAUUAAAACACCGAACAGAGACAAUGAAGGGGGGUGGUAACACUGAAAAAUGAAAUCAGCUCAUUACAGGACGCUCAUGGGAACGUCUCCACAUCUCAAAGGAAAUGAAGAAGGGGAUUCUUUUGUAUUAAUGAAAUGUUCAAUCAAUCUACAAUAAAAUUUGAUGUGCCAAAUAACAUGACUACUAGAAAUGUUACACACACACACACACACACACACACACAUAUAUAUAUAUAUAUAUAUAUAAUUCACUGCAGCAAUUUCUGUGAAAAACUUGAAUAUACCUCUGUGAGUCUCUGAUAUGUUACCCACUUGAAAGAUAAACAAGGGCUUAGUGACUUGAUUAACAUGACAGAAUGAAUUCAAAGAGAGACGAGAAAAGACAGAUGCCUGUUUGUCUAUUUACUUGCGUGUUUUGGAGCAUCUCCAGGUGUAGUCCCCAAACUCCAAACUCUACAUCCUUUUGCCUCAGCCUCCCAUAUGCUGGGAUGGCAGGGACAUACACCCAGUCCAGGAAAAGAUGGUUUCUAAAGAAGAGGAACUGGGCAUGGUGGCUCAAGUUCCUGGGAACUAAGCAAGAAGAAUGUCACGAGUUCAUGGCCUCAGCUACUCAGUGAGCUCCAGACCAACAUGAGCUACCUGAUUGCGAUCUCAUCUCAAUCAAUCAACCAAUCAAUCC